GUCAGCUUAUUCGUUUGCAGACUGGAAAAAUGGCGAACAGCCAUCAAAAUACUAAUUCAAAAUACACAAAAAUGGGUGCGCGGAGCAAAAUUCAGCCCUAAUGGCGAAUGUAUGCGAACGUUCACCGGGGGAAGAGGUAUGGGACGGCAGCUGGCAUGGCAUCCAGAUGGCAAUCUGGUGGCUUUAGCAUUAAGUUGUAACCGCGUUAAGAUAUUUGACAAAGCUGAAGGCGAGCUAAUACAGUGCAUUCGUCGCCGGAGAAUGAUGUUGCAUUUCACCCAAGUGGAAAUUUCUUGGUGACUGGCGGCGAUGACGAUACAAUAAGAUUGCUUGAUUUAUUAGAAGGUCGGCCAAUUUAUACACGGUAGUAGGGCACUUUAGCGGAACCAGGUCAAAAUGGACGGGAAAAUUAUACACUAACUGGCUACUAAGUUUGCGCUGUCGCUUUCUCUCCACAUGGUAGACAUUUUGCUUCCGCGGGCGAGGAUCGACAGUUGCUCGUUUGGAAAUCUAAUUUGCGUACGUUUGAUGCCAAUAGCGCUCGCAACAAACAAGCCAGUUCUCAAAGAGUCGAAAUUGAUUUUAGUCAUGCAACUGCUCCACAUAACUCCGCCAUAGACACACCAGUUGCUGGAGUACCAAAAAGCUGUGAUGAAGGUAUUUUAAUUGAUCCACGACAAUCCGUGGCAUAUGGAAUGCGUGAUGGAAAUUUUCUGGUGCUUGAUAGCCAAUAUACUACAAGAGAACCAUCUCCAAGCAACUUUACCACACCACAUUGUCAGUAACAUAAGCAACAGCAGUACCUCGUUUCUACACAUGCCAAACAAAAAUUUCGUUCGCGCUUAACUGCUUGGAAGGCUGCUGAUGACUCUUCAUAGAAAAUGCAUUGUUUGUAAUUUAUUAAAUGUGAUGUGUACAUACUUAUGUAUUUCUGUUUGUAUUUUAAACUAUGUACGUUAACAAUUUACAUUGUAUUAAAUUAUUACUUGUAUUAUUAUUAACCUAUUACACUUUAUUUAAAAUAAAACGAGUCAUUUGUAUUUUCUGAUAAAAAUAUAUUUAUUUAAAUUCUUAUUGCUCUUCCACACCACCGCUGAGGUAGCAAUACAGGCGCGUUACCGAUUUUUUUAAGGUGUUCGGUUCCCCAGGAGGCCUAUUUUCACCCAUAU
This is a long non-coding RNA of Rhagoletis pomonella (apple maggot), 1169 nucleotides long. RefSeq lists it as uncharacterized. The record is from RefSeq and is a predicted model, not a curated record. The transcript has 4 exons. Lineage: Eukaryota; Metazoa; Arthropoda; Insecta; Diptera; Tephritidae.